This 93-nucleotide transfer RNA is filed under the name Colletotrichum trifolii. It matches the Rfam family "tRNA". From Rfam's summary of the family: Transfer RNA (tRNA) molecules are approximately 80 nucleotides in length. Their secondary structure includes four short double-helical elements and three loops (D, anti-codon, and T loops). RNAcentral also lists the same sequence under 1 other name. The record is from Rfam by way of RNAcentral. Lineage: Eukaryota; Fungi; Ascomycota; Sordariomycetes; Glomerellales; Glomerellaceae.
GCCCAGAUCGUCUAGUUGGUUAGGAUGAUACGUUGUGGUCUCUAUAUUACGCAGCGAUCCGUGUUGACGGCGGUUCGAAUCCGCCUCUGGGCA